CAAUUGAGACAGGUGGUGCAUGGUUGUCGUCAGCUCGUGUCGUGAGAUGUUGGGUUAAGUCCCGCAACGAGCGCAACCCUUGUGUUUAGUUGCAAACGGGUCAAGCUGUGCACUCUAGACAGACUGCCGUGGACAACACGGAGGAAGGUGGGGAUGACGUCAAAUCAUCAUGCCCCUUAUGAUCUGGGCUACACACGUGCUACAAUGGCCGGUACAACGGGCAGCGAAGGAGCGAUCCGGAGCGAAUCCUAAAAAGCCGGUCCCAGUUCGGAUUGCAGGCUGAAACUCGCCUACAUGAAGUUGGAGUUGCUAGUAAUCGCGAAUCAGAAUGUCGCGGUGAAUGCGUUCCCGGGUCUU
RNAcentral lists this ribosomal RNA (357 nucleotides) under uncultured Fusibacter sp. RNAcentral's name for it is "bacterial SSU rRNA". It matches the Rfam family "Bacterial small subunit ribosomal RNA", at positions 1026 to 1382 of the family's 1533-position model. The record is from RNAcentral. Lineage: Bacteria; Bacillati; Bacillota; Clostridia; Eubacteriales; Fusibacteraceae.